UGCUCUGCUCACAAGGACCUUGGGACUCUGGCGGCAGCAGGUGCGACGAACAGCAUCUAUAGACCUGUUGCCUUAUAGGAUGGACCUACACAGAUUAAAUAUUUGCUACACAGAAUAAUACUUGUUACCAUAUUAAUAUUUGACUCAAUCAUUUAAAACAAUCUUACAUGUUUUCUUUUAAAUACCUGAAGGGAAUUUGAAAAUAAUAAUGAAGUCUGGAUUUAUUCAGAUGCUGAGGAAGAGGAAAGAGUUUAAAUAAAAGCACAAACCCUGAACCCUGGGAGAGACUGGACCCAUCUAAACCACAGAAGGUGAUUGAUAACAUUAUAAACACUUUUUAUGUCUGUCUAUUUCUAACCUGUCUGUUAGUAUUGACAUUUUCUUGCUUUUUUUGGCUUAAUUAGUGUGCUGUGUAUGCUUUACAUUAUAAACACUCUUCAUAUGCCUAGUUAUUUCUGAUAGAGGACCACUCUAAUUUGAUAUUGAUAUUGGUAUGGGUAUUGAGACCACUCUGUGGUUAACAUUAUGGGUAUAGGUUGUGUGCCAAUGCAGUGGUUCUAAUGCAGUGGUUCCUCCUCUAUUCUGCUGAGUCCCACAACAGGGCAACAUAGCCAAGGAGGAUUAUAACUUACCAUAAACAGCUGGGCAUCCAUCGGGGGGCGGGACAUCUCCCAUUUCUACUGUCAUCUAAAACUGGUCACUAUCAACCAGAAAUGGAGGCCCAUUAAAGAGCUGGAGCUGGUGAAGAGUAUCUUUCUAUUUCUCUCCAUUCUCUCCCAUCCCCCCCUCAUCCUGAAUGAGAGCUGCCUCCUUGCCCUUCCUGCACCCCUUCCCAG
Oncorhynchus keta (chum salmon) is the source of this 836-nucleotide RNA transcript. It is a transcript of the gene named chromosome 33 C15orf48 homolog, with no coding region annotated. The record is from RefSeq and is a predicted model, not a curated record. The transcript is spliced from 3 exons. Lineage: Eukaryota; Metazoa; Chordata; Actinopteri; Salmoniformes; Salmonidae.